UUUGAUAUGUGUAUUUGAAAUUUGCAUGUAAUAUGAUUUAUUUGUAAAAACUGAAUUUGUUGGUGAAUCUCCCCUUCAUAUAUUAUAUAGAUUUGUUUCAAUUAUUUGUUAAGUUUAUUUUUUGGUAAACCAUUUUGUUUUGGGUGUCACCCUAAUAAUUUUUAUAAGGAUGGUCCUAAACCGCGAAUCAUCUGUUAUGAUAUAUCGAACAUAUGGAUUGUUGUGUUUACAAG
This 233-nucleotide long non-coding RNA is filed under the name Erythranthe guttata (spotted monkey flower). RNAcentral describes it as "long non-coding RNA (EGUT_LNC000085)". Lineage: Eukaryota; Viridiplantae; Streptophyta; Magnoliopsida; Lamiales; Phrymaceae. The record is from RNAcentral.